CUACUCUCAACCCUGCCCGAGAGUGAUUUGGUCGUGAGGACAUACAAGCUGAAGAGAUGCUCUAAUGGCUAUUUCCUCUGACCAGACAUCACAGUCAUCAUCUCCAACAUUCUUCAAGUCCAUGUGGUAAAGUUAAGUGCAGGCAUGGAAGCUGCCCCUGAGCAGGGUUUUGUUUUUACGAUACAAUGAUGUGUUUCCAGUGCCUAGAGGUGUGUCUGACCC
Long non-coding RNA from Orcinus orca (killer whale), 222 nucleotides. RefSeq lists it as uncharacterized. NCBI's taxonomy places the organism in Eukaryota, Metazoa, Chordata, Mammalia, Artiodactyla, Delphinidae. The record is from RefSeq and is a predicted model, not a curated record. The transcript is spliced from 3 exons.